Molecule: long non-coding RNA, 272 nt
Filed under: Mytilus galloprovincialis (Mediterranean mussel)
Lineage: Eukaryota; Metazoa; Mollusca; Bivalvia; Mytilida; Mytilidae
Source: RNAcentral
CGUAGAUUCAUUUAUCAUACAUGCAAAACUUUAAAAAAUAAAUUGUUUACACAACAAUUGAAGCUACUCAAAUUAAUAUUUGAAAAUUUUGUUAAAAGUUAGGUUCCGGUUUAAAAGGUGGCUCAUUAUUUUUGUGAUGCAAUUAUUUUCUCUGUAGCUGUGUAUUUUUUCUACAUUGGCUAGAAAUAUAAGCGGAACAGGUUCAACCCCGCCACAUUUAAAUAACGCCUGUCCCAAGUCAGGAGCCUCUGGACUCUGUUAGUCUUCAGUUU